GUCAACUUGACUGAAGGAGCAAUCUGACAGUAGAGUGGCGCAAGGGUGCGUAACGCGUAAGUAACUUGCCCAAGGUAAGGAAUAACGUCGAGAAAUCGGCGCUAAUACCUCAUAAUGCAGCGGAUCCGCAUGGAUAUGUUGUUAAAGGUUUACCGCCUUGGGAUAGGCUUGCGUCUGAUUAGUUAGUUGGUGUGGUAACGGCACACCAAGGCUACGAUCAGUAACUGGUCUGAGAGGAUGAUCAGUCACACUGGAACUGAGACACGGUCCAGACUCCAACGGGAGGCAGCAGUGAGGAAUAUUGGGCAAUGCUCGAAAGAGUGACCCAGCAACGCCGCGUGGAGGAUGAAGGUAUUCUAUAUCGUAAACUCCUGUGAGAGCAGACGAAAGACAGAUUAUUAAUCUGGAUGACUGUAUGCUCAGAGGAAGCCCCGGCUAACUACGUG
RNAcentral lists this ribosomal RNA (446 nucleotides) under uncultured bacterium. RNAcentral's name for it is "bacterial SSU rRNA". It matches the Rfam family "Bacterial small subunit ribosomal RNA", at positions 61 to 507 of the family's 1533-position model. The record is from RNAcentral.